AUCAAUAAGCGGAGGAAAAGAAAAUAACCAUGAUUGCCCUAGUAACGGCGAGUGAAGAGGCAAAAGCUCAAGUUUGGAAGCUCAAUGGUUUAACCAUUGCGCAUUGUAAACUGAAAACAGGAUCAAUCAGGUACACCGGGUGAUAAGUUCCUUGGAAUAGGACAUCAUGGAGGGUGAGAAUCCCGUCUUUGACCCGAGUCUAGUAUCUUUUGUAUUGGCCUGUUCAAGAGUCAGGUUGUUUGGGAAUGCAGCCUAAAGCUGGAGGUAAAUCCCUCCUGAAGCUAAAUAAUGGCGAGAGACCGAUAGCGAACAAGUACCGUGAGGGAAAGAUGAAAAGAACUCUGAAGAGAGAGUUAAACAGUACGUGAAAUUGCUUAAAGGGAAGCAUAUAAAGCUAGGAUGCGAUUGUUUUCUUCAGGUUGAGCUUUGGCUUGACUGUUCAGAAGGAUAAUCCAAGACAACAAGAAUUGGAGGAGGAGAAUAAGCCAUUGGGGAAGGUAAUCCUUCGGGAUGUUUAUAGACCUGAUGGUUCGCGCUCUUCUUUCGAUUGAGGUACGCUUUUUUUAAAGGUUGUUGUCUGAAUGGCUUUAUAUGGC
This 596-nucleotide ribosomal RNA is filed under the name Syncephalastrum monosporum var. monosporum. Its description in RNAcentral is "eukaryotic LSU rRNA". It matches the Rfam family "Eukaryotic large subunit ribosomal RNA", at positions 42 to 648 of the family's 3401-position model. Lineage: Eukaryota; Fungi; Mucoromycota; Mucoromycetes; Mucorales; Syncephalastraceae. The record is from RNAcentral.